Molecule: transfer RNA, 74 nt
Filed under: Loxodonta africana (African savanna elephant)
Lineage: Eukaryota; Metazoa; Chordata; Mammalia; Proboscidea; Elephantidae
Rfam family: tRNA
About the family: Transfer RNA (tRNA) molecules are approximately 80 nucleotides in length.
Source: Rfam by way of RNAcentral
GCCCUGGUGGUGCAAGGGUUAAGCACUUGGCUGCUAGCCUCACAAGUUUGGUGGUUCAAACCCAUCCAGGGGCU